GCUCAGAUUGAACGCUGGCGGCAUGCUUUACACAUGCAAGUCGAACGGCAGCACGAAAGAGCUUGCUCUUUUGGUGGCGAGUGGCGAACGGGUGAGUAAUACAUUGGAACGUACCGAGUAAUGGGGGAUAACUGUCCGAAAGGAUGGCUAAUACCGCAUACGCUCUGAGGAGGAAAGCGGGGGACCUUCGGGCCUCGCGUUAUUCGAGCGGCCAAUGUCUGAUUAGCUAGUUGGUGGGGUAAAGGCCUACCAAGGCGACGAUCAGUAGUGGGUCUGAGAGGAUGAUCCGCCACACUGGGACUGAGACACGGCCCAGACUCCUACGGGAGGCAGCAGUGGGGAAUUUUGGACAAUGGGCGAAAGCCUGAUCCAGCCAUGCCGCGUGUCUGAAGAAGGCCUUCGGGUUGUAAAGGACUUUUGUCAGGGAAGAAAGGGUUUGGGUUAAUACCCUGAGCUUAUGAC
This 462-nucleotide ribosomal RNA is filed under the name Neisseria arctica. RNAcentral's name for it is "bacterial SSU rRNA". It matches the Rfam family "Bacterial small subunit ribosomal RNA", at positions 22 to 473 of the family's 1533-position model. Lineage: Bacteria; Pseudomonadati; Pseudomonadota; Betaproteobacteria; Neisseriales; Neisseriaceae. RNAcentral also lists the same sequence under 1 other name. The record is from RNAcentral.